RNAcentral lists this ribosomal RNA (450 nucleotides) under uncultured bacterium. Its description in RNAcentral is "partial 16S ribosomal RNA". It matches the Rfam family "Bacterial small subunit ribosomal RNA", at positions 354 to 796 of the family's 1533-position model. The record is from RNAcentral.
GUGGGGAAUAUUGGACAAUGGGCGAAAGCCUGAUCCAGCCAUGCCGCGUGUGUGAAGAAGGUCUUCGGAUUGUAAAGCACUUUAAGUUGGGAGGAAGGGCAGUAAGUUAAUACCUUGCUGUUUUGACGUUACCGACAGAAUAAGCACCGGCUAACUUCGUGCCAGCAGCCGCGGUAAUACGAAGGGUGCAAGCGUUAAUCGGAGUUACUGGGCGUAAAGCGCGCGUAGGUGGUUUUGUAAGUUGGAGGUGAAAUCCCCGGGCUCAACCUGGGAACUGCCUCCAAAACUGCAUGACUAGAGUACGGUAGAGGGUAGUGGAAUUUCCUGUGUAGCGGUGAAAUGCGUAGAUAUAGGAAGGAACACCAGUGGCGAAGGCGACUACCUGGACUGAUACUGACACUGAGGUGCGAAAGCGUGGGGAGCAAACAGGAUUAGAAACCCCUGUAGUCC